This 257-nucleotide ribosomal RNA is filed under the name uncultured bacterium. RNAcentral describes it as "partial 16S ribosomal RNA". It matches the Rfam family "Bacterial small subunit ribosomal RNA", at positions 524 to 776 of the family's 1533-position model. The record is from RNAcentral.
UACGUAGGGUGCAAGCGUUAAUCGGAAUUACUGGGCGUAAAGCGUGCGCAGGCGGUUCGCUAAGACAGAUGUGAAAUCCCCCGGGCUUAACCUGGGGAACUGCAUUUGUGACUGGCGGGCUAGAGUAUGGCAGAGGGGGGGUAGAAUUCCACGGUGUAGCAGUGAAAUGCGUAGAGAUGUGGAGGAAUACCGAUGGCGAAGGCAGCCCCCUGGGCCAAUACUGACGCUCAUGCACGAAAGCGUGGGGAGCAAACAGG